RNAcentral lists this ribosomal RNA (253 nucleotides) under uncultured bacterium. RNAcentral describes it as "partial 16S ribosomal RNA". It matches the Rfam family "Bacterial small subunit ribosomal RNA", at positions 524 to 776 of the family's 1533-position model. The record is from RNAcentral.
UACGGAGGGUGCAAGCGUUGUUCGGAAUCAUUGGGCGUAAAGCGCGUGUAGGCGGCUUGGCAAGUCGGUUGUGAAAGCCCGGGGCCCAACCCCAGAAUUGCAUCUGAUACUGCCUCGCUAGAGUCCCGGAGAGGAAGGCAGAAUUCCCGGUGUAGGGGUGAAAUGCGCAGAUAUCAGGAGGAACACCGGUGGCGAAGGCGGUGGUCUGGGCCGGCACUGACGCUGAGGAGCGAAAGCGUGGGGAGCAAACAGG